CGGGUGAGUAAUGUCUGAGAGACUGCCCGAUGGAGGGGGAUAACUACUGGAAACGGUAGCUAAUACCGCAUAACGUCGCAAGACCAAAGAGGGGACCUUCGGGCCUCUUGCCAUCGGAUGUGCCCAGAUGGGAUUAGCUAGUAGGUGGGGUAACGGCUCACCUAGGCGACGAUCCCUAGCUGGUCUGAGAGGAUGACCAGCCACACUGGAACUGAGACACGGCCCAG
RNAcentral lists this ribosomal RNA (227 nucleotides) under uncultured bacterium. RNAcentral describes it as "partial 16S ribosomal RNA". It matches the Rfam family "Bacterial small subunit ribosomal RNA", at positions 103 to 334 of the family's 1533-position model. The record is from RNAcentral.